This 100-nucleotide non-coding RNA is filed under the name Loigolactobacillus backii. Its description in RNAcentral is "Lactobacillus backii TPP sequence". It matches the Rfam family "TPP riboswitch aptamer (THI element)". Rfam says of the family: Vitamin B(1) in its active form thiamin pyrophosphate (TPP) is an essential coenzyme that is synthesised by coupling of pyrimidine and thiazole moieties in bacteria. The previously detected thiamin-regulatory element, thi box was extended, resulting in a new, highly conserved RNA secondary structure, the THI element, which is widely distributed in eubacteria and also occurs in some archaea. Lineage: Bacteria; Bacillati; Bacillota; Bacilli; Lactobacillales; Lactobacillaceae. The record is from Rfam by way of RNAcentral.
AACACCACAGAGGGGAGCCUUUUUGGCUGAGAGUGAUUCGUUCAGACCCUUAGAACCUGUUAUGUUAGUACAUGCGAAGGAAUUUGUGGCUAGUUAGUGU